This 200-nucleotide unclassified non-coding RNA is filed under the name soil metagenome. RNAcentral's name for it is "partial contains internal transcribed spacer 2 and large subunit ribosomal RNA". The record is from RNAcentral.
UUUCACCAAUCAAGCCCAGCUUGGUAUUGGGCCUCGUCCGCACAGGACGGGCCUCGAGACCCCGGCCGCGCGGUCCCGCUUCAGGCGUAGCAGAGCUUUCGCAGCCUCGCCUUGGAAGCCGCGUCCGUGUCGCGCCGCACAACGAACCCUUUUCUAUCAAGGUUGACCUCGGAUCAGGUAGGGAUACCCGCUGAACUUAA